UACGUAGGGGGCAAGCGUUAUCCGGAAUCACUGGGUGUAAAGGGUGCGUAGGCGGUUAUGUAAGUCAGAUGUGAAAUACCGAAGCUCAACUUCGGGGCUGCAUUUGAAACUGUGUGACUAGAGUACAGGAGAGGUAAGUGGAAUUCCUAGUGUAGCGGUGAAAUGCGUAGAUAUUAGGAAGAACACCAGUGGCGAAGGCGACUUACUGGACUGAAACUGACGCUGAGGCACGAAAGCGUGGGGAGCAAACAGGAUUAGAUACC
This 263-nucleotide ribosomal RNA is filed under the name uncultured bacterium. RNAcentral describes it as "partial 16S ribosomal RNA". It matches the Rfam family "Bacterial small subunit ribosomal RNA", at positions 524 to 786 of the family's 1533-position model. The record is from RNAcentral.